Molecule: ribosomal RNA, 297 nt
Filed under: Escherichia coli
Lineage: Bacteria; Pseudomonadati; Pseudomonadota; Gammaproteobacteria; Enterobacterales; Enterobacteriaceae
Description: partial 23S ribosomal RNA
Rfam family: Bacterial large subunit ribosomal RNA
Source: RNAcentral
CUGGAGGUAUCAGAAGUGCGAAUGCUGACAUAAGUAACGAUAAAGCGGGUGAAAAGCCCGCUCGCCGGAAGACCAAGGGUUCCUGUCCAACGUUAAUCGGGGCAGGGUGAGUCGACCCCUAAGGCGAGGCCGAAAGGCGUAGUCGAUGGGAAACAGGUUAAUAUUCCUGUACUUGGUGUUACUGCGAAGGGGGGACGGAGAAGGCUAUGUUGGCCGGGCGACGGUUGUCCCGGUUUAAGCGUGUAGGCUGGUUUUCCAGGCAAAUCCGGAAAAUCAAGGCUGAGGCGUGAUGACGAG